AUGCUCCUUACAACUUCCAUGCAUUGGAUCUAUGAACGGAAAGGGAUAAUGAUCCUUCCUGAUUGUGUCGUUGAGCUUACUAAAGUCAAUGUAAACUCUCCCACCAGCUUGGAUUCGAUUGGGCACCUGAACCAAAGAAGGUAACAACUUAUUAGUUGAAAUAGGAAUUGGAAUUGGAAUAGGUGGCUCACCAAUAUACUGCGAUGAACACUCAAAAGUAGCAGCACAAUCAACAAAUUCACU
This 243-nucleotide long non-coding RNA is filed under the name Malus domestica (apple). RNAcentral's name for it is "long non-coding RNA (MDOM_LNC015493)". The record is from RNAcentral. Lineage: Eukaryota; Viridiplantae; Streptophyta; Magnoliopsida; Rosales; Rosaceae.